Molecule: ribosomal RNA, 440 nt
Filed under: uncultured bacterium
Lineage: Bacteria
Description: partial 16S ribosomal RNA
Rfam family: Bacterial small subunit ribosomal RNA
Source: RNAcentral
CCUACGGGGAGCAGCAGUGGGGAAUAUUGCACAAUGGGGGAAACCCUGAUGCAGCGACGCCGCGUGAGUGAAGAAGUAUUUCGGUACGUAAAGCUCUAUCAGCAGGGAAGAAAAUGACGGUACCUGACUAAGAAGCCCCGGCUAACUACGUGCCAGCAGCCGCGGUAAUACGUAGGGGGCAAGCGUUAUCCGGAUUUACUGGGUGUAAAGGGAGCGUAGACGGCAGCGCAAGUCUGAAGUGAAAUCCCAUGGCUUAACCAUGGAACUGCUUUGGAAACUGUGCAGCUAGAGUGCAGGAGAGGUAAGCGGAAUUCCUAGUGUAGCGGUGAAAUGCGUAGAUAUUAGGAGGAACACCAGUGGCGAAGGCGGCUUACUGGACUGUAACUGACGUUGAGGCUCGAAAGCGUGGGGAGCAAACAGGAUUAGAUACCCCAGUAGUC